This 258-nucleotide ribosomal RNA is filed under the name uncultured bacterium. RNAcentral's name for it is "partial 16S ribosomal RNA". It matches the Rfam family "Bacterial small subunit ribosomal RNA", at positions 96 to 354 of the family's 1533-position model. The record is from RNAcentral.
UGGCGGACGGGUGAGUAACGCGUGGAUAACCUGCCCCAUACCGGGGGAUAACAGCCGGAAACGGCUGCUAAUACCGCAUAAGCGCACGGGAAUGCAUGUUUCAGUGUGAAAAACUCCGGUGGUAUGGGAUGGAUCCGCGUCUGAUUAGCUGGUUGGCGGGGGAGAGGCCCACCAAGGCGACGAUCAGUAGCCGACCUGAGAGGGUGGCCGGCCACAUUGGGACUGAGACACGGCCCAGACUCCUACGGGAGGCAGCAG